Small nuclear RNA from Piliocolobus tephrosceles (Ugandan red Colobus), 104 nucleotides. NCBI's taxonomy places the organism in Eukaryota, Metazoa, Chordata, Mammalia, Primates, Cercopithecidae. The record is from Ensembl.
GUGUUUCCUUCAGCAGCACAUACACUAAAAUUGGAACAAUACAGAGAUUAGUGUGGCCCCUAUGCAAGGAUGACAUGCAAAUUUGUGAAGCAUUUCAUAUAUAA